This 376-nucleotide unclassified non-coding RNA is filed under the name uncultured bacterium. RNAcentral describes it as "contains 16S-23S intergenic spacer region". The record is from RNAcentral.
UCCGAGUUGACCCCGGCAGUCUCCUAUGAGUUCCCUCCAUUACGUGCUGGCAACAUAGAACGAGGGUUGCGCUCGUUGCGGGACUUAACCCAACAUCUCACGACACGAGCUGACGACAACCAUGCACCACCUGUAUACCGACCUUGCGGGGCGACUAUUUCUAGCCGUUUCCGGUAUAUGUCAAGCCCAGGUAAGGUUCUGCGCGUCGCGUCGAAUUAAACCACAUGCUCCACCGCUUGUGCGGGCCCCCGUCAAUUCCUUUGAGUUUUAGCCUUGCGGCCGUACUCCCCAGGCGGAGUGCUUAUCGCGUUAGCUACGGCACCACGAGGGUCAAAGCCCGUGACACCUAGCACUCAUCGUUUACGGCGUGGACUAC